CUUGCAGGGUACUCGAGUGGCGAACGGGUGAGUAACACGUGGGUGAUCUGCCCUGCACUUCGGGAUAAGCCUGGGAAACUGGGUCUAAUACCGGAUAGGAACCAUUUUUAGUGUGAUGGUUGGAAAGUUUUUCGGUGUAGGAUGAGCUCGCGGCCUAUCAGCUUGUUGGUGGGGUAAUGGCCUACCAAGGCGGUGACGGGUAGCCGGCCUGAGAGGGUGGACGGCCACAUUGGGACUGAGAUACGGCCCAG
Molecule: ribosomal RNA, 251 nt
Filed under: uncultured Actinomycetales bacterium
Lineage: Bacteria; Bacillati; Actinomycetota; Actinomycetes; Actinomycetales
Description: partial 16S ribosomal RNA
Rfam family: Bacterial small subunit ribosomal RNA
Source: RNAcentral